GACGAACGCUGGCGGCGUGCUUAACACAUGCAAGUCGAACGGAAAGGCCCUGCUUUUGUGGGGUGCUCGAGUGGCGAACGGGUGAGUAACACGUGAGUAACCUGCCCUUGACUUUGGGAUAACUUCAGGAAACUGGGGCUACUACCGGAUAGGAGCUCCUGCUGCAUGGUGGGGGUUGGAAAGUUUCGGCGGUUGGGGAUGGACUCGCGGCUUAUCAGCUUGUUGGUGGGGUAGUGGCUUACCAAGGCUUUGACGGGUAGCCGGCCUGAGAGGGUGACCGGCCACAGUGGGACUGAGAUACGGCCCAGACUCCUACGGGAGGCAGCAGUGGGGAAUAUUGCACAAUGGGCGGAAGCCUGAUGCAGCAACGCCGCGUGCGGGAUGACGGCCUUCGGGUUGUAAACCGCUUUCGCCUGUGACGAAGCGUGAGUGACGGUAAUGGGUAAAGAAGCACCGGCUAGCUACGUG
RNAcentral lists this ribosomal RNA (468 nucleotides) under uncultured bacterium. RNAcentral's name for it is "partial 16S ribosomal RNA". It matches the Rfam family "Bacterial small subunit ribosomal RNA", at positions 28 to 507 of the family's 1533-position model. The record is from RNAcentral.